AGGCUCUGGGAGCUGCAAGGAGAGAGCAAGGUCAGUUGGAUCCGUUGUCAGGAAAGAAUCUGUGUCAGGUAGAGGAGGUGCAGAUAGGGGAGAAAGGAUAAGGGUUUGAGAGGCAUCAACAGAUGCAUAAAAACAAAGAAAAAAUGGUGCAUAAAGUGGGAAUGUGUCAAAGUAUAAAGAAUGCCUGUACAUAGGGAACUUCGGACCAUUUUCUCAACCUCUGGCAGUAGCUGUCUAAGUCUCACAGGAUGCAGAAAUCAAAAGUGCCAUUCUCUGGCCACUGAGAGCCAUUUUCUGGUUUGUAUUAUGGCCAUGCAGUGUUACAGAAGAAAAUCAGAUGUUUAGGCUUCAGAUCAGGGUAUAGAUGGAGAGAUUUCAGAUUCUUUAAGAGUCAGGCUAGAGAAGAAGAAGGAGGAAUAGAAGAAUGAACAUUUCCUAUUGGAGCAGAGAGAGAGGAUUGUCAUGCCCUGUGUGACAAAGACCAGCAACAGGGUCAACAAUGGGAUAUCUCCAGCUGUGACCCAGGCUGUGACUGAACAUGGAAAUUAUACACAGCACUUCUCCUCACAGUUCCAUGGCCACAGUCCGCUCAUGGUCAAGUCUGGCACCAAUGAAGCAGGAAUGCAUCUGCUCUCUGGGAAAGGGAAAGGCUCAUGCAUUCAGCAACUCCUGAGACCAGACCAGCGUGCUCAUCCUUGGCUUGCACAGUAAAGGGGUUCAGAGAAGACAAGUUCAUGGAAUAGUUAACAGCCCUCAGAUCCAAACCCAGGUCCAGUUCCAAAGCCCAUGCUGAAAAAUCAGUUCUCCUAGCUGACAGCAGUCCAGCAGCUCUCCACUCAGGUUCCACCACAGCCCUUUUCCCCGAACUACUGACCUCUGCUCUGCUAAAGGUAAAUGACAAGAUUCUUGCUAACAGAGUCUUCCAAUGUUCUGGUUGCUCAGGAAUCUGCCUUCCUUCAAGGCGGACCUCCCCCAGCACUGAUAAGGUAGACAAUCAUAUUCCUAUAAAUGAAGAACUAUAUAUUCCCAAAAGGUACAGAUGAAAUUGACAACUGUGUCCUGUAAACAGUCUGUGACAGACACUGUUCUCAGAUGAUUCGUGAGACACUGCUUCUCACCAGGCUGAAUUGCUGAACUGUCUGCCCUGUGUUGUUCACGUGAACUUACUAGAGAGACCACCCCACUUUGAUCAAAUGUGCAAAAGUUGAAGUGUAUCUUUGUUCAAUGCUGCUCCUUUGGACAGGAGUCUGUUGAGCUGGUGUACACCUUAAACCUGAAAUAAAAU
RNAcentral lists this long non-coding RNA (1285 nucleotides) under Heterocephalus glaber (naked mole-rat). RNAcentral describes it as "lncRNA (ENSHGLG00100044703.1)". The record is from RNAcentral. Lineage: Eukaryota; Metazoa; Chordata; Mammalia; Rodentia; Bathyergidae.